CGGCGGACGGGUGAGUGAUGUCUGGGAAACUGCCCGAUGGAGGGGGAUAACUACUGGAAACGGUAGCUAAUACCGCAUAACGUCGCAAGACCAAAGAGGGGGACCUUCGGGCCUCUUGCCAUCGGAUGUGCCCAGAUGGGAUUAGCUAGUAGGUGGGGUAACGGCUCACCUAGGCGACGAUCCCUAGCUGGUCUGAGAGGAUGACCAGCCACACUGGAACUGAGACACGGUCCAG
This 235-nucleotide ribosomal RNA is filed under the name uncultured bacterium. Its description in RNAcentral is "partial 16S ribosomal RNA". It matches the Rfam family "Bacterial small subunit ribosomal RNA", at positions 96 to 334 of the family's 1533-position model. The record is from RNAcentral.